GACGAACGCUGGCGGCGUGCUUAACACAUGCAAGUCGAGCGGUAAGGCCCUCGGGUACACGAGCGGCGAACGGGUGAGUAACACGUGGGUGACCUGCCUCUAGCUCUGGGAUAAGCCUGGGAAACUGGGUCUAAUACCGGAUAUGACUCCACGGCGCAUGUUGUGGGGUGGAAAGCCUUGUGUGGCUAGAGAUGGGCCCGCGGCCUAUCAGCUUGUUGGUGGGGUGAUGGCCUACCAAGGCGACGACGGGUAGCCGGCCUGAGAGGGCGACCGGCCACACUGGGACUGGGACACGGCCCAGGACUCCUACGGGAGGCAGCAGUGGGGAAUCUUGCGCAAUGGGACGAAAGCCUGACGCAGCGACGCCGCGUGAGGGAUGAC
Molecule: ribosomal RNA, 381 nt
Filed under: uncultured bacterium
Lineage: Bacteria
Description: bacterial SSU rRNA
Rfam family: Bacterial small subunit ribosomal RNA
Source: RNAcentral